This is a non-coding RNA of Styela clava, 1158 nucleotides long. NCBI's taxonomy places the organism in Eukaryota, Metazoa, Chordata, Ascidiacea, Stolidobranchia, Styelidae. The record is from RefSeq and is a predicted model, not a curated record.
GUAUUGCAUUUUAACUUUUCUAUAAAUUAGCGAGGUGAUUUUUAUUGAACAACGUGUGAUCUUUUCUGGCUUAUAUACAACUCGAAAACGUAUGAUCGAAAACGAAUGACUUAAUCAUUAUCUUUUAACAGUUUAUAAGUUAUAAAAACUUAGAACAUAAAAGGAAAGAAUGAUACCGUACACAUUUUGGAGCAAACCAUCAAGCUGGAAUUUACAAAGGGCUUCGAGGAUUACCGGAACCACCUGACACGCAUCAUGGUUAAUUCACUAACAAUAAACAUAGAUAAAAAUAUCAGCUGAAUUAAAACCAUGUUCGUUAUAUGGUUGGACUGUCGUAUCGGCUUUACUCUCCCACGCGAAAGUCUGAAAGUUUUAUCUUAUCUGGUGACCGAAGUAAAAGCCAAGCUCGUUAUAUGAUUGAGCCAUUUGCUGACUUUCCUCUCCCUUUGGGAUAAAUUCUAUUUUUAAUCAAAUGGAGAUAUAAGUAUGAAGAAUAUUGGAUUACAAAAAAGGAUAUCUUAAAUGAAAUAAAAGCUACAGCUUAGCAGAACGAAGAAGUUGUGUCGUAAGGACCACAUCAACUACGCGAUUUGACCGGUCUUUGGAAUUCGCUACGAGAGAAUCACUGUAUUUAUGAUGCCGAGCAAUGACGCAAUAACCAACAACGCUAUCUCCCGAGGAUUGUCAUUAUUACGUUCGGAAGUUCAUAUUUGACGAUAAACAGGUAACUUGACAUUGCUAGUACUAUUCACAAUUCCGAAAGGCGACGCCGCUCAGCUGAGAAAGGUGAUGCCCCAAUCACGACUCCGCAUGAUCUUACAGCAGUGGAUUUUAAACAGGGCAGCAGAGAAUAUUACAAUUUAAAAACCUCCGACCCCAACAUGAUGGACGUGGUGAACCUCGAGAAAAAGACCUAUACCUGGCCUGGAGCUUGCCUUUUCUCUGAAGAUUUUCUACACAUUGGCUAACGCUGGUCGGUUACAGAUUUCAACACGAUCAAGCCCAUGCAUCUGGCACAUGCACAAAUACCUGGCUAACUAAUCCCAUACCCGACGUGGUAACCGAAAGAGAGGCCGUGGUUCGCCAUAUGAUAAAAUCGUUCUUCGUUUUCUAUGAAAUCAUAUCCUAACCAUAAGCAGUAAUGCACUCGGCGUCAUA